GAUAAGAAAGUAAUUAAGGGCGCAUGGCGGAUGCCUUGGCUCUCAGAGGCGAUGAAGGACGUGAUAAGCUGCGAUAAGCUUCGGGUAGAUGCAAAUAAUCUAUUAUCCGGAGAUUUCCGAAUGGGGCAACCCAGUACAUUGAAGAUGUAUUACCCUGUUUACAGGGGGCGAACGCGGUGAACUGAAACAUCUUAGUAACCGUAGGAAGAGAAAAUAAUAAUGAUUCCCCAAGUAGUGGCGAGCGAACGGGGAUUAGUCCAAACCAGUUUUGUUAAGGCAAAACCGGGGUUGUAGGACUGCGAUGUGGUAGUAACGAAUAUAGCCGAACACCUCUGGAAAGGGUGACUAUAAAGGGUGAAAGUCCCGUAGGCGAAAUGUUCAAUACACCUAGCAGUAUCCUGAGUAGGGCGGGACCGGUGAAAUCCUGUCUGAAUCCAGCAGCACCAUCUGCUAAGACUAAAUACUCCUGAGAGACCGAUAGUGAACAAGUACCGUGAGGGAAAGGUGAAAAGUACCCCGAACAGGGGAGUGAAAUAGUACCUGAAACCGUGCGCCUACAAGCGGUCGGAGCAACCUUGUGUUGUGACGGCGUGCCUUUUGCAUAAUGAGCCUACGAGUUACUCCUCUCUAGCAAGAUUAAUCACGUAAACGUGAGUAGUCGAAGCGAAAGCAAGUCUGAAUAGGGCGACAGAGUUAGAGGGGGUAGACGCGAAACUCAGUGAUCUACCCAUGACCAGGUUGAAGAAAUGGUAACACAUUUUGGAGGACCGAACCAGUUGACGUUGAAAAGUCUUUGGAUGAGUUGUGGGUAGGGGUGAAAGGCUAAUCAAACUGAGAGAUAGCUCGUACUCCCCGAAAUGUAUUUAGGUACAGCCUCGUGUUAAAGUGUUAUAGAGGUAGAGCUACUGAUUGGGCUAGGGGGCUUCACCGCCUACCAAACCCUGACAAACUCCGAAUGCUAUAACAUGUUUCACGGGAGUGAGGCGUUGGGUGCUAAGGUCCAAUGCCGAGAGGGAAAGAACCCGGACCAUCAGCUAAGGUCCCCAAAUGUGUGUUAAGUUGUACUAACGAGGUCCAAUUGCUUUGACAGCUAGGAUGUUGGCUUGGAAGCAGCCAUUCAUUUAAAGAGUGCGUAACAGCUCACUAGUCGAGCGAUAGGGCAUGGAUGAUAAUCGGGCAUAAACACACUACCGAAGCUAUGGAAUUGAAUUUAUUCAAUUGGUAGGGGAGCAUUCUAGUUGCAUUGAAGCAGUAGCGGCAAGCUAUUGUGGAGCGGCUAGAAAAGCAAAUGUAGGCAUAAGUAACGAUAAUGCGGGCGAGAAACCCGCACACCGAAAGACUAAGGUUUCCUGAUCAACGCUAAUCGGAUCAGGGUUAGUCGGGACCUAAGGCGAACCCGAAAGGGGUAGUCGAUGGACAAUCAGUUAAUAUUCUGAUACCACCUUUAAUUGCGAUGAGAGGACGGAGUAGUGAAAUUCCCGCGUACUGACGGAAUAGUACGUUGAAAACUGUAGGUAUAUGGAGUGUAGGCAAAUCCGCACACCAUGCUGAAGGUUGAUAGUACCACGAGUCUUCGGACAAGUGGAUAGUGGAGCUAAUCAUACUUCCAAGAAAAGUCUCUAAGCUUCAGAUUAUAGGUGCCCGUACCAUAAACCGACACAGGUGGUCGAGGAGAGAAUCCAAAGGUGCUCGAGUGAUUCAUGGCUAAGGAACUAGGCAAAUUAACCCCGUAACUUCGGGAGAAGGGGUCCCUACUUCGGUAGGGCGCAGAGAAAUGGCCCAGGCGACUGUUUAGCAAAAACACAUGGCUUUGCAAAAUCGUAAGAUGACGUAUAAGGCCUGACACCUGCCCGGUGCCGGAAGGUUAAGUGGUGGUGUUAUUCUCUUCGGAGAAGAAGCACUGAAAUGAAGCCCCGGUAAACGGCGGCCGUAACUAUAACGGUCCUAAGGUAGCGAAAUUCCUUGUCGGGUAAGUUCCGACCUGCACGAAUGGUGUAACGAUCUGGGCGCUGUCUCAGCCAUGAGCUCGGUGAAAUUGUAGUAACGGUGAAGAUGCCGUUUACCCGCAAUGGGACGGAAAGACCCCGUGAACCUUCACUACAGCUUAACAUUGACUUUGGAUAAAUCAUGUGUAGGAUAGCCGGGAGACUGUGAAGCUGGGCCGCUAGGUCUGGUGGAGUCAUCCUUGAAAUACCGGCCUUGAUUUAUUUGAAGCCUAACCCGCAUGCGGGGAAAAUGUUUGGUGGGUAGUUUGACUGGGGUGGUCGCCUCCAAAAGAGUAACGGAGGCUUUCAAAGGUACCCUCAGUAUGAUUGGUAACCAUACGUAGAGUGCAAUAGCAAAAGGGUGCUUGACUGUGAGACUUACAAGUCGACCAGGUACGAAAGUAGGAUAUAGUGAUCCGGUGGUUCCGUAUGGAAGGGCCAUCGCUCAAAGGAUAAAAGGUACUCCGGGGAUAACAGGCUGAUCACUCCCAAGAGCUCACAUCGACGGAGUGGUUUGGCACCUCGAUGUCGGCUCGUCAUAUCCUGGGGCUGGAGAAGGUCCCAAGGGUUGGGCUGUUCGCCCAUUAAAAUGGCACGCGAGCUGGGUUCAGAACGUCGCGAGACAGUUCGGUCCCUAUCUAUUGUGGGCGUUAGAAGUUUGAGAGGACCUGACUCUAGUACGAGAGGACCGUGUUGGACAAACCUCUGGUUUACCUGUUGUGGCGCCAGCCGCACCGCAGGGUAGCUACGUUUGGUUGAGAUAAGUGCUGAAAGCAUCUAAGCACGAAACUCGCCUCAAGAUGAGACUUCUUUUAAGGGUCGUUAGAGACUAUGACGUUGAUAGGCUGCAAGUGUAAAGGUGGUAACAUCAAAGCUGAGCAGUACUAAUUACCCGUAGCUUUUAAUCUAUUAA
This 2898-nucleotide ribosomal RNA is filed under the name Lentimicrobium sp. S6. RNAcentral's name for it is "23S ribosomal RNA". It matches the Rfam family "Bacterial large subunit ribosomal RNA". RNAcentral also lists the same sequence under 1 other name. Lineage: Bacteria; Pseudomonadati; Bacteroidota; Bacteroidia; Bacteroidales; Lentimicrobiaceae. The record is from RNAcentral.